Long non-coding RNA from Aegilops tauschii subsp. strangulata, 2467 nucleotides. RefSeq lists it as uncharacterized. NCBI's taxonomy places the organism in Eukaryota, Viridiplantae, Streptophyta, Magnoliopsida, Poales, Poaceae. The record is from RefSeq and is a predicted model, not a curated record.
CCCAACCCGGUAGAAACAUGCCCGCCCGUAGGAACCCCACGAAAAAAAAACAUCCUGAACUGGCCACCUCGCCUCCCUCCCGAGCACCGCCCGCCGCCACCCUCCUGCGCGCCGGCCACGGCCUCCCUCCUGCGCGUCACCGGCCACCGCCUCCCUCCCCGCACUAACGUCCGCCGCAUCCCUCCCCCGCACUGACGGCCGCCGCAUCCCUCCCCCGCACCGACGGCCGCCGCAUCCCUCCCCGCACCGACGGCCGCUAUAUCCCUCCCCCGUGCAAACGACCGCUGCAAGCUCCUCCCGCUCAUGGCCGCCGCAAGCUCCUCCCGUACGCCAACCUCCACCCCGCCUUCCCCCUCUGCUCUCCCUCACGCUCGGGCGCCAGCCAUCCUUCUUCCCCGCGCGCGGCACCUCGAUCCACCGCCGGCCGACCUCCCUCGUCCCGUUUCCUGGCCGCCGUCCAUGUCGUGCCAUUGUUUCUGGAAGAAAACCAACUUGGACUUCGUUGACGGCCUUUGCACCAUUUUGAGCGCUGACAGCUCCUUCCUUUGCCAUUGAUACAGCCAUCGACAUGUACUGGGUGUUCCUUCGCAAGUUCAAUUAGUGUCAUCACACAAGUUCAGAAGUUUGAUUUUGUGAAGAAGUAUGAAAAUUGUCAGUGCAAAUGUGGAAAACCAGAAAGUUCUAAUAAUGGUGUACCAAAAGUUCAAGGUUAGUAAUCUGGGGACGUUAGAGCAACUGCCGAUGGAGGCGGAGUCAAAAUCUCGUGACUUUCUACUGCAGAUCUUCAGCAUGGACUUCGAUGAAGACACUCCUCUGAUGUUAAUGCGCUUCUGCAUUUUAAUAAAGAAGUUACAGAAUUUCAGUUCCUCGGUACUUAUAAGAUCUUGAGAGGAUGACAGAGGAUGCCCAUGUGUACUGUGUACAAGCCAGCCAGCCAUGUAUAAGGAUCCAAUGGAAGACUGGAUUUGGUUGUUGUUAAUUAGCAGCCACCUAAGCCUAGCAAUUGACCGUGGAGCACGUACUGGAUCCCUGACACGAUGCAAUUAGUCAUCAGUGUCGACGACUGAUUUAUUUUGUUUUGUACAAGUUAAAACAUCAGUGGCCAUAGGGAAGGAGACCUUCCCAAAUCGUGCCCCUGGACAAUGCAACAAUGAAUUGGACGCCGUUUCCGCCUCUCUUCCAGCAGCGCCGAUGUCCCCUUCUAGCUCAGCACCGGUUUCCCCGCCUCGUGAUACGGUCUGCGGUUGCUUGUGAGUUGUCUGCUAGGUGUUGUUUAAGUGUCACAGACGGCGUGUUGUCUCCUGGCAUCUGGAUUAGCUGCCGACUGCAAAUAAAAGCACGAGGGAGGCUAGAGCGACUGCAGACCGGUGACGAGAACCACUCUUCAGUUCUGCUAUUCGUGUAUUGGAAGUACGUAUCCUCUAUCCAGGCAGGAGGUAGAGUACAAGUUUUGGAAGGCCGGGGAGUUCUACCGCUGACAUACACCAAGUUCAGAGAUGUUGCAUGGAGUGAGCCGACACCGCGGUAAAAAAUGGUUUAUUAGCAUACUGUUUUUUUGGUACUUAUGCAUACAGUUGUAGAAGUGAAAUUUGUUGGGUGCAUGUGCAGAAAAAAUGUCAGUUCUGUUUUCAAAAUUCUGUAAGUUUGUUUUGAUUCUAUGAAAAAAUUUAAGUUUCUCGUGUGUGCUGCUACAAAUCUGAACUAUUUGUCUAAACAUUCUAGUACUGAUGCAAUCGCCUAAAAUAAGUUCAAGAAAAAAUCAGUAAGUUUGGUGCGUGUGCUGCUACAAAUCUAAAAUUCUUCUCGAGUCAUUCUAGUACUGAUGUCUCUUUUAGUCUGUAGCGGAGAGAAUAUUUUUAUGCUCAUUUGUUCAUAGUAUGAAUCUCGUUUAUAGUUUCUUUUCUCAUUCUUUUAAUUAAGAAAAAAGUUUAUUGAGCUUGAAGCAUAAACCUCUCGGCAAUGUAACAUUCUGCUGAUAUUUAAUAAUCGGUAUGCUGUUGUAGUGGGACAAGGUCAUCAUCUUGAGGAGGUCAAUGAGGUCAGUGAUACCAUGCACGCUGAAACGAUGGCCUUACACUAGGCUGUAUGUAUAACUUGGUCCAUGGGAUGCAGGCUUGUGCUGCUUGAAACGGAUGCGACUAACCUGUAGAAAGCAUUACAGGAAGUGAUUUAAGAGAUGAAUGUGGCCAACGACGGUCGCCGCUCCUCGAAGGGCCAGCUCUUCCGAGGGACCGGUGGUGGAGCACCGAGGUGGACUGGUGAGCUGGGUGAUACCGUAAACCGUUAUAAAAUUACGAGAACCAUAUAAAAACAGAAUAAACUCUAGUUUGUGAAAACAUGCUCAGUACAAACCCAUACGAACAUUAGCUCAAGUACUCUUUUGUCGGAACCAUUCAAAACCACUCUGUGAAAAAUACCUCAGUACAAAUAUGCACAUAGAUCAGUACAAAUACUCUGUUUUUUCUGA